RNAcentral lists this small RNA (784 nucleotides) under Pan troglodytes (chimpanzee). RNAcentral's name for it is "processed transcript". The record is from RNAcentral. Lineage: Eukaryota; Metazoa; Chordata; Mammalia; Primates; Hominidae.
CGGCAACACCUCAGCCCGAGCCCGGCGAGGUCUCUGGGCUCCAGGAGCGAGGGCAACUUUGUGAAGAAUGUCCCGAUGAACCACGGCGUGUACACGUGGCCGGACGGCAGCAUGUAUGAAGGCGAAGUGGUCAACGGCAUGAGGAACGGAUUCGGGAUGUUCAAGUGCAGCACCCAGCCUGUGUCCUACAUCGGCCACUGGUGCAAUGGCAAGCGGCACGGGAAGUUAUAAAUCUGGAAAUAUAUACGAAGGCCAGUGGGAAGACAACAUGCGCCACGGGGAGGGGAGGAUGAGGUGGCUGACCACCAACGAAGAGUACACCGGGCGGUGGGAGAGGGGCAUCCAGAAUGGCUUUGGAACACACACGUGGUUUCUAAAGAGAAUCCGCAGUUCCCAUUUUUCUGUCUGCAGGGCCGAUUAACUUUCAAGAACGGGCGUGUGUACGAAGGCGCAUUCUCCAAUGACCACAUAGCCGGGUUUCCAGAUCUUGAAGUUGAAUUCAUCAGCUGCCUGGACCUGUCUUCAGGAGUUGCCCCAAGAUUGUCCAGGAGCGCCGAACUGAUCAGAAAGCUUGAUGGCAGUGAAAGUCAUUCUGUGUUGGGAUCGAGCAUUGAGUUGGAUCUAAAUUUGCUCCUGGACAUGUACCCUGAGACAGUCCAACCUGAAGAAAAGAAGCAGGUGGAAUAUGCCGUCUUAAGAAAUAUUACAGAAUUAAGAAGAAUCUACAGCUUUUACAGCAGCCUGGGAUGCGGCCACUCUCUGGAUAAUACCUUUCUGAUGACAA